This 407-nucleotide ribosomal RNA is filed under the name uncultured bacterium. RNAcentral's name for it is "partial 16S ribosomal RNA". It matches the Rfam family "Bacterial small subunit ribosomal RNA", at positions 30 to 526 of the family's 1533-position model. The record is from RNAcentral.
AUUGAACGCUGGCGGCAGGCCUAACACAUGCAAGUCGAGCGGAGCGGCGGACGGGUGAGUAAUGCCUAGGAAUCUGCCUGGUAGUGGGGGAUAACGUCCGGAAACGGGCGCUAAUACCGCAUACUAUCAGAUGAGCCUAGGUGGGAUUAGCUAGUUGGGGGGGUAAAGGCCUACCAAGGGGACGAUCCGUAACUGGUCUGAGAGGAUGAUCAGUCACAUUAGAACUGGGACACGGUCCAGAGUACUACGGGAGGGAGCAGUGGGGAAUAUUGGACAAUAGGCGAAAGCCUGAUCCAGCGAUGCCGCGUGUGUGAAGACGGUCUUCGGAGUGUAAAGCACUUUAAGUUGGGAGGCGUUACCAACAGAAUAAGCACCGGCUAACUUCGUGCCAGCAGCCGCGGUAAUUC